ACGUACGCUGGCGGCACGCCUAACACAUGCAAGUCGAACGAAGUAGCAAUACUUAGUGGCAGACGGGUGAGUAACAUGUAGGUAUCUGCCCUUUGGCCUGGAAUAACACGAGGAAACUUGUGCUAAUACCGGAUAAGUCUUUACGGAGAAAGCUUUAUGCACCAUUGGAUGAGCCUGCACUUGAUUAGUUUGUUGGUGGGGUAAUGGCCUACCAAGACUGUGAUCAAUAGCUGAUUUGAGAGGAUGAUCAGCCACAUUGGGACUGAGACACGGCCCAAACUCCUACGGGAGGCAGCAGUGGGGAAUCUUGCACAAUGGAGGAAACUCUGAUGCAGCGAUGCCGCGUGAGUGAAGAAGGCCCUUGGGUUGUAAAGCUCUUUCGUCGGGGAAGAAAAUGACUGUACCCGAAUAAGAAGGUCCGGCUAACUUCGUGCCAGCAGCCGCGGUAAUACGAAGGGACCUAGCGUAGUUCGGAAUUACUGGGCUUAAAGAGUUCGUAGGUGGUUGAAAAAGUUAGUGGUGAAAUCCCAGAGCUUAACUCUGGAACUGCCAUUAAAACUUUUCAGCUAGAGUAUGAUAGAGGAAAGCAGAAUUUCUAGUGUAGAGGUGAAAUUCGUAGAUAUUAGAAAGAAUACCAAUUGCGAAGGCAGCUUUCUGGAUCAUUACUGACACUGAGGAACGAAAGCAUGGGUAGCGAAGAGGAUUAGAUACCCUCGUAGUCCAUGCCGUAAACGAUGUGUGUUAGACGUUGGAAAUUUAUUUUCAGUGUCGCAGGGAAACCGAUAAACACACCGCCUGGGGAGUACGACCGCAAGGUUAAAACUCAAAUGAAUUGACGGGGACCCGCACAAGUAGUGGAGCAUGUGGUUUAAUUCGAAGAUACGCGCAGAACCUUACCAACACUUGACAUGUUCGUCGCGACUCUAAGAGAUUAGAGUCUUCGGUUCGGCCGGACGAAACACAGGUGCUGCAUGGCUGUCGUCAGCUCGUGUCGUGAGAUGUUGGGUUAAGUCCCGCAACGAGCGCAACCCUCACUUUUAGUUGCCAUCAUUAAGUUGGGCACUCUGAAAGAACUGCCAGUGAUAAGCUGGAGGAAGGUGGGGAUGACGUCAAGUCCUCAUGGCCCUUACGUGUUGGGCUACACACGUGCUACAAUGGUAUCUACAACAGGAAGCAAGACUGCGAAGUUAAGCAAAUCCCUAAAAGAUACCUCAGUUCGGAUUGCACUCUGCAACUCGAGUGCAUGAAGCUGGAAUUACUAGUAAUCGUGGAUCAGCGUGCCACGGUGAAUGCGUUCCCGGGUCUUGUACACACCGCCCGUCAAGG
This 1326-nucleotide ribosomal RNA is filed under the name uncultured Alphaproteobacteria bacterium. RNAcentral describes it as "bacterial SSU rRNA". It matches the Rfam family "Bacterial small subunit ribosomal RNA", at positions 29 to 1402 of the family's 1533-position model. The record is from RNAcentral. Lineage: Bacteria; Pseudomonadati; Pseudomonadota; Alphaproteobacteria.